UACGUAGGGUGCAAGCGUUGUCCGGAAUUAUUGGGCGUAAAGAGCUCGUAGGCGGUCUGUCGCGUCUGCUGUGAAAACUCGGGGCUCAACCCCGAGCCUGCAGUGGAUACGGGCAGACUAGAGUGCUGUAGGGGAGACUGGAAUUCCUGGUGUAGCGGUGAAAUGCGCAGAUAUCAGGAGGAACACCGGUGGCGAAGGCGGCUCUCUGGGCAGUAACUGACGCUGAGGAGCGAAAGCGUGGGGAGCGAACAGG
This 253-nucleotide ribosomal RNA is filed under the name uncultured bacterium. RNAcentral describes it as "partial 16S ribosomal RNA". It matches the Rfam family "Bacterial small subunit ribosomal RNA", at positions 524 to 776 of the family's 1533-position model. The record is from RNAcentral.